AAGCUUAUGAUGAGAAAACUUAAAUAUCUUAGCGGAUUUCAGUGAGACUGUUGUGUCAAUGAUCUGAUUGUUACACACACUGAGGCUC
This is a small nucleolar RNA of Diospyros lotus (date-plum), 88 nucleotides long. RefSeq annotates it as small nucleolar RNA R11/Z151. The record is from RefSeq and is a predicted model, not a curated record. The transcript has a single exon. NCBI's taxonomy places the organism in Eukaryota, Viridiplantae, Streptophyta, Magnoliopsida, Ericales, Ebenaceae.